CCUACGGGUGGCAGCAGUGGGGAAUAUUGCACAAUGGGCGCGACCCUGAUGCAGCCACGCCGCGUGAAUGAAGAAGUAUUUCGGUAUGUAAAGCUCUAUCAACAGAGAAGUAAAUGACGGUACCUGAGUAAUAAGCCACGGCUAACUACAUUCCAGCUGCCGCGGUAAUACGUAGGCGGCAAGCGUUAUACGGAUUUACUGGGUGUAAAGGGAGCGUAGAAGGUUAGACAAGUCUGAAGUGAAAGCCAGGGGAUCAACCCCGGGACUGCUUUGGAAACUGCCUGACUGGAGUGCUGGAGAGGCAAGCGGAAUUCCUAGUGUAGCGGUGAAAUGCGUAGAUAUUAGGAAGAACACCAGUGGCGAAGGCGGCUUGCUGGACAGUAACUGACGUUGAGGCUCGAAAGCGUGGGGAGCAAACAGGAUUAGAUACCCCUGUAGUC
This 440-nucleotide ribosomal RNA is filed under the name uncultured bacterium. RNAcentral's name for it is "partial 16S ribosomal RNA". It matches the Rfam family "Bacterial small subunit ribosomal RNA", at positions 338 to 795 of the family's 1533-position model. The record is from RNAcentral.